This is a long non-coding RNA of Musa acuminata AAA Group (dessert banana), 2520 nucleotides long. RefSeq lists it as uncharacterized. The record is from RefSeq and is a predicted model, not a curated record. Lineage: Eukaryota; Viridiplantae; Streptophyta; Magnoliopsida; Zingiberales; Musaceae. The transcript has 3 exons.
UCCAACCUGCUAAUGGUCAUCCCCAAGCACAAUCCACCCGAGCAAAUCUCCGUCCGAUCGCAGUGAAUCCUGUCGACCACGAGUUGAAAAGAUUCGACUGUGUUUGGAUAUCAAGCUUGGAUUCCAAAGGCAAAUAACAUAAGCAGCUUGGCCUGACAAGAUUGCUCUGACCUUUCUGCUUCGUACUGUGAUGAGAUUCACGUAUUCUAGCUUUUGCUGUAAAGCAGUCAUGGGUUUCCUGCUUAGGUUUGUUCAGUAUCUUAUUGCCUGUGUGUGACAUCUUUACAUACAGAUGGUUGUUCUCCCUGCAUCACUCUUUGUCUGGAUUUGAUUUGCCUCGGUGUUCAUCACGCCGCCACCUUUUGAGUCUCUGCUGAGCCAAAGCGUGUUUUUUCUUGCGAAAUCUAUCAAGUCUUGUACAUCAUCACCUUUCCCUUUGAACUGCACUAUUGUUUGAUUUCAUUUUAAGAGACUGUUCACUGUCUUGUCCCGUGGAAUAAGAGAUGAGUGCAUCCUCGAGCAACUCUGCGUCACAUGAGCCAGUUGCGAGUUCUUCUGAUAAGCGGGAGUUGGAAGCCCGUGGGAAGAACAAGAAUCAAGAUGAGACCAAAUUUCCUGUCCCAUUCUACCGUCUGUUCUCGUUUGCAGACUCCACGGAUGUGAUUCUGAUGGUCGUGGGAUCACUUGGUGCGCUGGGGAACGGGCUUGCUCUACCACUCAUGACCGUUCUGUUCGGGGAUUUGAUCCAGUCCUUUGGAGGAGCAUCGGACACACACGAUGUGCUUCGUAGAGUUUCCACGGUAGCCUUGGAAUUUGUCUACCUAGCAGUUGGAGCAGGCGUGGUAUCUUUGGAGGGUUCGUAGUUGCAUUUGUCCAAGGGUGGCUUCUCACCCUUGUCAUUGCUGUGCGCCAUCCCUCCCUUGGUGGUUGCUGGAGGAGUCAUGGCCAUUAUUGUGGCCAGGAUGGCAUCAUUGGGACAAGCAGCUUAUGGAGAAGCUGCAGCGACCGUCGAGCAGACAGUUGGGUCAAUUAGGACAGUUGCAUCUUUUACUGGGGAAAGGCGAGCAGUAAAGAAAUAUGACAAGUCUGACCUUAUUCAGGUUGCAUCUUCAAUUGCUUGAUUCACCUUUUCAUUCUGCUGCAUUUACAAACAUCAAGAACUCAUUACAAAUGUAAGGAACUUUAAUACUUUUCCAUAUUUAUAUAAUCAUGGCCUAUACUUAACAUUUUUAAACUUAAUUAUCUUGAUCCAAUUCUCCUGCUCAUUAGGCCAAAUAGCACCAUGCAUGAAAGCAUUGGCAGCAGGACAAGCUGCUGCAUCUAAGAUGUUUGAGACAAUCAACCGAGAGCCAGAAAUUGAUGCUUGUGAUGCCAAUGGAAAGGAACUUAGCGAUAUUCGUGGGGAAAUUGAAUUUGAGUACAAAGAAGCAUAUGAUGCCUCUGGAAAAUUUUGAUAUGAAUGCUAAGUACAAAGAUUGUGUAGGUCAUGCAUGAACACAACAUUAUCAUCUCACUAUUGAGCAUUGGUAUCAGGUUUUUGUUUUCAUUGCUGCGGUUGGCACACAACUACAUGCAAUAAAUAGCAUACUUGACCAUCAUCUUAGAAAAAUAGAGUUGUUUUUUUGCUUUUCUCAUCAAGUCUUUCACAGGUACAUGACACUGAUCUUAGAUAAAUAGCUCUCUUUGCAGUAUAAUAUGAGACAAUUAGGUAUCUCAGUGUAUUAUUAACCAAAACUUGCAAUAUCAACAAGAAAAGAAGAAGAAAGAAAUCAUGUCUUUCGGUUCAUCAUAUGCCAACAAAUUUCUUCAUCCACAAGCUCUUUCUUUGUCUCCAUAUGUUAUUUUGUUAUGAGAACUAAGUGUUCACAUGUUUACAAAUCAAAGUAUUGAUUCUUGAGAAGGAUGUAAACAUCAGCAGCAGAGAUGAUCUCUGUAUGAAAGAAAAGGACGGAUGAAUGACGAUGGCAGUAUUCUCUCUGAGGAUGGUCUUGUGAGUGAUACAAACAAAUUCACCAGUUAUGAUCAUGAACAUGAAGUACUUUUGUUCCAUCAGAUAGAGAGAAAAGAUGAUGAGACUUGAUCCCAUCUACACUUCCUUCUAUCCCUUGUUGUCUUAAUCAUUUUGCCGUGUCUCCUUUUAAUGCCGUUUGUAUCAAAAGGAUAACAGUAUUUCCAUAACUCAAUCACCUCCUUAUUUAUAUGAUUUUUACACACAUUUGUAUAAUCUUCCUUAUUGCCUUUCCUAACAUGUGCAGGAUUUUGUGGUGGGUAUUAUGUCCAUGUAUUGAAGCUGAUGAAGACGAUCACUGUAAUUUACUGAGAAAAGACGUUGACCACAAAAAGUACUUGUGUUCUCAGUAUCAACGAAUGCACUGAAGUUACUUUCAGAGCUGCAAGAUGGAACGCUAACAGGCAUCAAGAACAUGAUAACAUAUCUCAAGCUCAAUUCAAUCAUGACCUGUUCUUUUUAAUUUUUGCCUGUGUAUUAUCUAGCUUGAUCAUGAAUGAUCUUAUCAUUAA